AAGACUGUAGCAUAAUAGGUUAAUGCUCAUUGCUCAUAACGAUGAAAAUAAGGGUUCGAUCCCCUUCGGUCUUA
This 74-nucleotide transfer RNA is filed under the name Laetiporus sulphureus. Its description in RNAcentral is "tRNA-Met". It matches the Rfam family "tRNA". Rfam says of the family: Transfer RNA (tRNA) molecules are approximately 80 nucleotides in length. Their secondary structure includes four short double-helical elements and three loops (D, anti-codon, and T loops). The record is from RNAcentral. Lineage: Eukaryota; Fungi; Basidiomycota; Agaricomycetes; Polyporales; Laetiporaceae. RNAcentral also lists the same sequence under 1 other name.